Molecule: ribosomal RNA, 250 nt
Filed under: uncultured bacterium
Lineage: Bacteria
Description: partial 16S ribosomal RNA
Rfam family: Bacterial small subunit ribosomal RNA
Source: RNAcentral
UACGUAGGGGGCAAGCGUUGUCCGGAAUUAUUGGGCGUAAAGCGCGCGCAGGCGGCUAUUUAAGUCUUAUGUAUAAACCCAAGGCUCAACCUUGGAUCGCAUGGGAAACUGGGUGGCUUGAGUGUAGGAGAGGAAAGUGGAAUUCCACGUGUAGCGGUGAAAUGCGUAGAUAUGUGGAGGAACACCAGUGGCGAAGGCGACUUUCUGGCCUAUAACUGACGCUGAGGCGCGAAAGCGUGGGGAGCAAACA